Capra hircus (goat) is the source of this 546-nucleotide long non-coding RNA. NCBI's taxonomy places the organism in Eukaryota, Metazoa, Chordata, Mammalia, Artiodactyla, Bovidae. The record is from Ensembl.
UCUUACCCUUGUCUUCUUCCUCUUCCAAUUUCUUGCUGCGACCAUGCAGAAAAAAUCCUCUUCACACCUCCACCUCCAGGACGCACAGCCAGCAUUUUCUGAGCUUUCCAGAAAGGAAGCAGACUCGCUGGUGUGACAGCUGGCAUCAGAGCUGGGACUUGGGCUGCCUUGCAGAAGACCGUGGCUUCCAAAGGGCAGAGCCGGAGCUGAAGUCCAGAGUUGACAAACUACACCCGCAGGAAAAUCCUACCUACCGCUUGUUGUGUGCUUCACAAGUGAGAUUUCACAUUUUUUAAUGACUGGGAAAAAAAUAAAGUUAAAAGAAUCAUGCAUUUUAGGACAUGUGAAAAUUAUGUAAAAUUCAAAUUUCAGUGUUGAUAAACCUUUCCGGGAGUGUGGCCGCAUACUGUCAUUUACGUAUUGUCUGUGACUGCUCCCAGGCUGCCACGGUGGACUUGAGUAGUUGUAACAGGUAUCUCAGAGCUCACAGCGCCUGAUAUAUUUGCCAUCUGACACUUUAUAGGGAAAAAAGUAUUCCCACUGUUG